Molecule: ribosomal RNA, 503 nt
Filed under: uncultured bacterium
Lineage: Bacteria
Description: bacterial SSU rRNA
Rfam family: Bacterial small subunit ribosomal RNA
Source: RNAcentral
AAUGAACGCUGGCGGCGUGGAUUAGGCAUGCAAGUCGAACGCGAACGGGAAUCUUCGGAAUCCCUAGUAGAGUGGCGAACUGGUGAGUAACGCUUGGGGAACCUGCCCUUGAGUGGGGAACACGUCCGAAAGACGUAAAUUCCGCAUAACACCUCCUGCUCGCAUGUGUGGGAGGUCAAAGGUGCCCUCUGAUUCAAGGUGCCGCUUGAGGAUGGUCCCGAGUCCUAUUAGCUUGUUGGCGGGGUAAAGGCCCACCAAGGCGAUGAUGGGUAGCUGGCCUGAGAGGGUGGUCAGCCACACUGGGACUGAGAUACGGCCCAGACUCCUAAGGGAGGCAGCAGUCGAGAGGCAUCGGCAAUGGGCGAAAGCCUGACCGUGCGACGCCGCGUGGACGAUGAAGGCCUUCGGGUUGUAAAGUCCUGUCACAGGGGGGAGAACCGCACCCAGCCGAAUAAGUUGGGUGUCUGACGUUGCCCCUGGAGAAAGACCCGGCUAACUCCGUG